AACGAACGCUGGUGGCAUGCCUAACACAUGCAAGUCGAACGAGACCUUCGGGUCUAGUGGCGCACGGGUGCGUAACGCGUGGGAAUCUACCCUCAGGUUCGGAAUAACUCAGAGAAAUUUGAGCUAAUACCGGAUGAUGACGUAAGUCCAAAGAUUUAUCGCCUGAGGAUGAGCCCGCGUAGGAUUAGGUAGUUGGUGAGGUAAAGGCUCACCAAGCCGACGAUCCUUAGCUGGUCUGAGAGGAUGAUCAGCCACACUGGGACUGAGACACGGCCCAGACUCCUACGGGAGGCAGCAGUGGGGAAUAUUGGACAAUGGGCGAAAGCCUGAUCCAGCAAUGCCGCGUGAGUGAUGAAGGCCUUAGGGUUGUAAAGCUCUUUUACCCGGGAUGAUAAUGACAGUACCGGGAGAAUAAGCUCCGGCUAACUCCGUG
Molecule: ribosomal RNA, 433 nt
Filed under: uncultured bacterium
Lineage: Bacteria
Description: partial 16S ribosomal RNA
Rfam family: Bacterial small subunit ribosomal RNA
Source: RNAcentral